RNAcentral lists this ribosomal RNA (401 nucleotides) under Geochelone elegans (star tortoise). Its description in RNAcentral is "partial 12S ribosomal RNA". Lineage: Eukaryota; Metazoa; Chordata; Testudines; Testudinidae. The record is from RNAcentral.
GCGUGCCUUAGGACCGGCUUAAAUUGGGCGUUCUGAUCCCUGUUUACUGCUAAAUCCUGCUUGUAGAACUUUUUUCAUGGUUCUUUCCGUGAGAUAAUUUCUAAAUUUAGAAAAUGUAGCCCAUUUCUUCCAUCUCGGUUAGCUACACCUUGACCUGACUUAUUAGCUGUAUGUUGGCUAUUUUGCUUACUUUUAUAUCCUUCAUAGGGUAGGCUAGUGACGGUGGUAUAUAGGCGGUAUUGGCAAGAGAUGGUUAGGUGGAUCGUGGAUUAUCGAUUAUAGAACAGGCUCCUCUAGGGGGGUUUGAGGCACCGCCAAGUCCUUAGAGUUUUAAGCGUUUUGCUCGUAGUUCUCUGGCGGAUAUUUUUGUGUAUUAAAUAUCUGGAUUUAUGGCUAAGCAU